ACGUACAGCGUGCACAUCGAAUAUUAAUAACGCAUGCGCAAUACACACCUCUCAGAAUGGGUGUGAUGAGAGUUGAGAGAAGACUCCCGGCGUUAAUGGACAAAUAAAAUAUGGAGAAGAAAGUACUUCUUUGUUUCUCCUGAAAAAAAAAAAACAGUUUUAGCAUCAACAACAUAAACAAACGGCUAUUGUGGACUAAACGCAACUUCCGGUUGACGUUUACAUAGAAUAAAUAACAACAGAGUCAUUUUACAGUGGACAUAACAUCAAGGUUUCCUCACCGUCCAUGAUGACUGCUUCGUCUGAGGUUGCCUUCUAGUUCUUAAUAAAAUCCGUUCUUACGGAGACAAACUCGCACACGGUCCCUGAGACAGAUGGAGACAGAUGGAGCUGUACUCUGAAGACCUGGGACACAGGUAGCAGGAUUUUAUAGACUCUGGGCAAUAAAUUGAGCCUCAGUCACUAGUGGGUUAAAAUAGGUUUGACGUGGUUGUUUAUGACAGGAAUAUGACUGAGUGUGGUGGGGUGGGUGGAUUGAGCUAAUUAAGGAGUUGUCCAGUUAUUUACAGCUUUCUUAUCGAUCUUUACCAUAAAUCAAACAAUGUGAACUUUUGUUUUUUU
Misgurnus anguillicaudatus (oriental weatherfish) is the source of this 621-nucleotide non-coding RNA. Lineage: Eukaryota; Metazoa; Chordata; Actinopteri; Cypriniformes; Cobitidae. The record is from RefSeq and is a predicted model, not a curated record.